RNAcentral lists this transfer RNA (75 nucleotides) under Caudoviricetes sp. Its description in RNAcentral is "tRNA-Val". It matches the Rfam family "tRNA". Rfam says of the family: Transfer RNA (tRNA) molecules are approximately 80 nucleotides in length. Their secondary structure includes four short double-helical elements and three loops (D, anti-codon, and T loops). Lineage: Duplodnaviria; Heunggongvirae; Uroviricota; Caudoviricetes. The record is from RNAcentral.
GAACACGUAGUUUAGGUGGUUUAGAAUGUCGCACUAACAAUGCGAAGGUCGUGGGUUCGAGUCCCACCGUGUUCA